Molecule: long non-coding RNA, 1138 nt
Organism: Onychostoma macrolepis
Lineage: Eukaryota; Metazoa; Chordata; Actinopteri; Cypriniformes; Cyprinidae
Exons: 5
Source: RefSeq, a predicted model, not a curated record
CAGUGAGCACAGGAUCUGUUGAGCAGCAAAUACUCCAGCAUGAUCUUGUCAGUCAUCUCUCAUUAUUCUCGACCUGCGAUCAGUCAAAUCUGACUCUUGCAGCUCUUGUUGGAUGCAGGAUGCGUUUUUUCCACAGAAUUGGGCUACUUUUAAACUGUCGCCAUGGGUUGAUUUUCCAAAGUGAGAUAAAGAGACAAGCUCCCAGCUUAUCAGCGUUACCACACUUUAGCUCAGGAUGUGCAGCCUGGUCUUACCCUGCCCUACCAAUACAAAGUUCUCGCUGAGAUGUUCCGCAGCACGGACACCAUAGUUGGGAUGCUGUUCAACCGCUCUGAGACUGUCACUUUUGCCAAAAUCAAGCAAGGGGUCCAAGAUAUGAUGCGCAAGCGUUUUGAAGAGAGUCAUCUGGGGCAGAUAAAGGCUGUGUACCCUUCUGCCUAUACUUUUCGUCAGGAGAAAAUCAUUCCCUCUUUCAGUGCUACUGCAAAAAGGUCCAGCUAUCAGUUUACAGUGGAGAAGAAUUUAACGGUACUCAUCCAGUGUUGUCGGCAUCUCGUCUUUUGGAAAGAAGACACACAUUUCACCAAAAUCUGGUUGAAAUUGUGAAGGGACACCAGAAGGUGUUCCUGGCUUCCCUAAACCCUCCCAUUGCUGUUCCUGAUGACAAACUGACCCGCUGGCAUCCGAGAUUCAAUGUGGAUGAGGUUCCCAACAUCAAGCCAAGUGAUUUGCCUCAACCCAAUUUUUGAUUUGCCUUUUUUUGUGUCCCUAAACUGCACCUUCAAAGCAGUGCCACACCCCUCUUAGCCUGUUCAGUUCCCUGUUAGUCCCAAGCUCCACCCACCCAAUCUCAAGCCAAUUAGAGCUAUCUCACAGACUUUAUUAGCUGCAUCUGUGUCCACAGCUUGCCCUUUUUGUUGCAUGUGUUGACACCGUGCAGAGGACUGAGUUUUACUCCUUUCUGUGUUUUUCCUGCGUGUGCGUAAUUGACUAUGUAAGUGCCUUUUGUUUGAUGCUUAAACAUUUUGUAUGACUUAAGUUUUGGCUUAAAUGUAUAUUUUCAUGCUUGCUCUAGUUUCGGUUUAGGCAUGUGCUUUAUUUAAAGUGCAGUUGAUGUAACAUUGUGGUUGCCUUAUAC